Long non-coding RNA from Oncorhynchus nerka (sockeye salmon), 1778 nucleotides. RefSeq lists it as uncharacterized. The record is from RefSeq and is a predicted model, not a curated record. The transcript is spliced from 2 exons. NCBI's taxonomy places the organism in Eukaryota, Metazoa, Chordata, Actinopteri, Salmoniformes, Salmonidae.
ACUAAAAUGACAAAGGUUAGGAGAAUUUACGUAACAGGUUAGGUGAAUUGGGUUAAGAAUAUUACCUUUGUUUCUGUCUAAAGUAACUAGACCAUUUGUAGAUAUCAUACGUCUUGGAGAUGCUCAGAAAUACGUCAAGUAUAUUUCGUAUGGCUCUGAGGCCAGGCUGAAACACACGGCAUUCCAAAGGGACAAAGGCAGGAAGAAAGGUCUUGUUUGCCUGCCUCACGUGAUAACUUACAGACCACAAUGCUUUGGCUGAGAAGACAUGGCACACUCCCAUUUUAUGUGUUGAUCUACCCCAUUAUCACAUGAUAAAGUUAUUCAAUCAAGGGGCAUCUGUGCAGAAGGGGUAUGCUUUGGACUCGGUGUGCUUCCUGUUGGAGAGGGAUAGUCAUAUUCAACAAACUGUGAUGCCAAGUUCUUAAACAGGACCUGAGCCCUAGGACCAUGCCCCAGGACUACCUGACAUGAUGACUCCUUGCUGUCCCCAGUCCACCUGGCCAUGCUGCUGCUCCAGUUUAAACUGUUCUGCCUUAUUAUUAUUCGACCAUGCUGGUCAUUUAUGAACAUUUGAACAUCUUGGCCAUGUUCUGUUAUAAUCUCCACCCGGCACAGCCAGAAGAGGACUGGCCACCCCACAUAGCCUGGUUCCUCUCUAGGUUUCUUCCUAGGUUUUGGCCUUUCUAGGGAGUUUUUCCUAGCCACCGUGCUUCUACACCUGCAUUGCUUGCUGUUUGGGGUUUUAGGCUGGGUUUCUGUACAGCACUUUGAGAUAUCAGCUGAUGUACGAAGGGCUAUAUAAAUACAUUUGAUUUGAGUCAGAAAUUGCAUUAGCGUUUCAUCUUUUUUCCCUAUCCUUGCCCCGUUAAUGAGAUAUUAUGCACAUGAUAGCGAAUGUCCUCGUCAUGUGAUUUAUCAUGGUAGCAGUCAGUAGCAAUCCAAAUGAUCAGGCCGAAAAUAUGCAAGGAAAAGUGAUCGGGUGAAAUUUUGAGGCGAGUGGAUAGAGAAAUACACUUUCUUUGUGUCCAUUCAGAGCAGCAGGAUCAACGUACAGGCCGCCAUUCAUUUUACAGACAGGCAAACUUGCCAUUUUAAUUAUUUAGACUACAUAAAACCUGGAACAUUACUGACUCAAAGACAUUACAGUAUGGUUUAGAAACUAUGUGACUGACUUACACAAGAAAGAUGCUGGCUGGCACCCAAUUGAAUACAUUUUUGGAUCACGGAUAUUUACAAAAAGUACUCGGAUUAUAAUCGUAUCCAGAAAAUUGCCCAUAUCCAUUAUGAUACUCAUUUUGUCUGACUACUCGGCACACUCUUAAUCCACACUGAGCUAAAGACUAGACCUGCUGCUUUCAAGGAGAGGGACACUAAUCAAGACUCUUAUAAGAAAUCCCGUUACGACCUCCAGCGAGCCAUCGAACAGGCAAAGCGUCAAUACAGGACUAUGAUCGAAUCCUACUACGCCGGCUCUGACACUCGCUGGAUGUGGCAGGGCUUGCAAACUAUGACAGAUUACAAAGGGAAACCCAGCCGCAAACUGCCCAGUGACGUGAGCCUACCAGAAAACUAAUUGCCUUCUAUGCUCGCUUCGCGUCAAGCAACACUGAUCCAUGCAUGAGAGCACCAGCCGUUCCGGAUGACCGUGUGACUGUGUGAACCCAUAGCGGCCGUCAAUGGCCUUUUAAAAAAUUACUAAAGUGGCCGAGAACGGCCUUGAUUAUCUACCAAUAAUAUCUGUGUCAAUAUUUUAAAAUGUACUUGCUAGCAACCUA